RNAcentral lists this ribosomal RNA (253 nucleotides) under uncultured bacterium. RNAcentral describes it as "partial 16S ribosomal RNA". It matches the Rfam family "Bacterial small subunit ribosomal RNA", at positions 524 to 776 of the family's 1533-position model. The record is from RNAcentral.
UACGUAGGCAGCGAGCGUUGUUCGGAGUUACUGGGCGUAAAGCGUGCGUAGGCGGUGCCAUAAGUCUGUUGUGAAAUCUCCCGGCUCAACUGGGAGGGUGCGGUGGAAACUGUGGUGCUGGAGUGUGGGAGAGGUAGGCGGAAUUCCUGGUGUAGCGGCGAAAUGCGUAGAUAUCAGGAGGAACACCUGCGGUGUAGACGGCUUACUGGACCACGACUGACGCUGAGGCACGAAAGCGUGGGGAGCAAACAGG